UAGAGGUUUAGGAGAGAUGGUAGAGGUUUAGGAGAGAUGGAAGAGGUUUAGGAGAGAUGGUAGAGAUUUAGGAGAGAUGGUAGAGGUUUAGGAGAGAUGGUAGAGGUUUGGUUAGGAGAGAUGUUAGAGGUUUAGGAGAGAUGGUAGAGGUUUUGGGAGAGAUGGUAGAGGUUUGGGUAGGAGAGAUGGUAGAGGUUUAGGAGAGAUGGUAGAGGUUUAGGAGAGAUGGUAGAGGUUUAGGAGAGAGGGUAGAGGUUUAGGAGAGAUGGUAGAGGUUUAGGAGAGAUGGUAGAGGUUUGGGUAGGGGAGAUGGUAGAGGUUUAGGAGAGAUGGUAGAGGUUUGGGUAGGAGAGAUGGUAGAGGUUUAGGAGAGAUGGUAGAGGUUUGGGUAGGAGAGAUGGUAGAGGUUUGGGAGAGAUGGUAGAGGUUUAGGAAAGAUGGUAGAGCUUUAGGAGAGAUGGUAGAGGUUUGGGAGAGAUGGUAGAGGUUUAGGAGAGAUGGUAGAGGUUUAGGAGAGAUGGUAGAGGUUUAGGGGAGAUGGUAGAGGUUUAGGAGAGAGGGUAGAGGUUUAGGGUGAUGGUAGAGGUUUAGGAGAGAUGGUAGAGGUUUAGGAGAGAUGGUAGAGGUUUAGGAGAGAUGGUAGAGGUUUGGGAGAGAUGGUAGAGGUUUAGGGAGAUGGUAGAGGUUUAGGAGAGAUGGUAGAGGUUUAGGAGAGAUGGUAGAGGCUUAGGAGAGAUGGUAGAGGUUUAGGAGAGAUGGUAGAGGUUUAGGAGAGAUGGUAGAGGUUUAGGAGAGAUGGUAGAGGUUUAGGAGAGAUGGAAGAGGUUUAGGAGAGAUGGUAGAGGUUUAGGAGAGAUGGUAGAGGUUUGGGUAGGAGAGAUGUUAGAGGUUUGGGUAGGAGAGAUGGUAGAGGUUUGGGUAGGAGAGAUGGUAGAGGUUUGGGAGAGAUGGUAGAGAUUUAGGAG
RNAcentral lists this long non-coding RNA (965 nucleotides) under Salmo salar (Atlantic salmon). RNAcentral's name for it is "lncRNA (ENSSSAG00000120126.1)". The record is from RNAcentral. Lineage: Eukaryota; Metazoa; Chordata; Actinopteri; Salmoniformes; Salmonidae.